UACGGAAGGCAGCAGCGGGGAAUAUUGCACAAUGGGCGCAAGCCUGAUGCAGCCAUGCCGCGUGUAUGAAAAAGGCCUUCGGGUUGUAAAGUACUUUCAGUCGUGAGGAAGGUGUUAAGGUUAAUAACCUUAGCAAUUGACGUUAGCGACAGAAGAAGCACCGGCUAACUCCGUGCCAGCAGCCGCGGUAAUACGGAGGGUGCGAGCGUUAAUCGGAAUUACUGGGCGUAAAGGGCACGCAGGCGGUUAAUUAAGUUGGAUGUGAAAUCCCCGGGCUUAACCUGGGAAUGGCAUUCAAGACUGGUUAGCUAGAGUCUUGUAGAGGGGGUAGAAUUCCAUGUGUAGCGGUGAAAUGCGUAGAGAUGUGGAGGAAUACCGGUGGCGAAGGCGGCCCCUGGGACAAAGACUGACGCUCAUGUGCGAAAGCGUGGGGAGCAAAC
RNAcentral lists this ribosomal RNA (440 nucleotides) under uncultured bacterium. RNAcentral describes it as "bacterial SSU rRNA". It matches the Rfam family "Bacterial small subunit ribosomal RNA", at positions 340 to 773 of the family's 1533-position model. The record is from RNAcentral.